CAGUAGCCACGGGAAUACGGAGGGCGCGAGCGUUACCCGGAUUUACUGGGCGUAAAGGGCGUGUAGGCGGCCUGGGGCGUCCCAUGUGAAAGGCCACGGCUCAACCGUGGAGGAGCGUGGGAUACGCUCAGGCUAGAGGGUGGGAGAGGGUGGUGGAAUUCCCGGAGUAGCGGUGAAAUGCGCAGAUACCGGGAGGAACGCCGAUGGCGAAGGCAGCCACCUGGUCCACUUCUGACGCUGAGGCGCGAAGGCGUGGGGGGCAAACCGGAUUAGAUACCCCGGUAGUCCCUGUCUCUUAUAC
RNAcentral lists this ribosomal RNA (301 nucleotides) under uncultured bacterium. RNAcentral's name for it is "partial 16S ribosomal RNA". It matches the Rfam family "Bacterial small subunit ribosomal RNA", at positions 509 to 807 of the family's 1533-position model. The record is from RNAcentral.